This 139-nucleotide ribosomal RNA is filed under the name uncultured bacterium. RNAcentral's name for it is "partial 16S rRNA". It matches the Rfam family "Bacterial small subunit ribosomal RNA", at positions 355 to 511 of the family's 1533-position model. The record is from RNAcentral.
UAGGGAAUCUUCCACAAUGGGCGCAAGCCUGAUGGAGCAACACCGCGUGAGUGAAGAAGGGUUUCGGAUUGUAAAGCACUUUCGACGGGGACGAUGAUGACGGUACCCGUAGAAGAAGCCCCGGCUAACUUCGUACCAG